GACGAACGCUGGCGGCGUGCUUAACACAUGCAAGUCGAACGGAAAGGCCCUGCUUUUGUGGGGUGCUCGAGUGGCGAACGGGUGAGUAACACGUGAGUAACCUGCCCUUGACUUUGGGAUAACUUCAGGAAACUGGGGCUAAUACCGGCUAGGAGCUCCUGCUGCAUGGUGGGGGUUGGAAAGUUUCGGCGGUUGGGGAUGGACUCGCGGCUUAUCAGCUUGUUGGUGGGGUAGCGGCUUACCAAGGCUUUGACGGGUAGCCGGCCUGAGAGGGUGACCGGCCACAUUGGGACUGAGAUACGGCCCAGACUCCUACGGGAGGCAGCAGUGGGGAAUAUUGCACAAUGGGCGGAAGCCUGAUGCAGCAACGCCGCGUGCGGGAUGACGGCCUUCGGGUUGUAAACCGCUUUCGCCUGUGACGAAGCGUGAGUGACGGUAAUGGGUAAAGAAGCACCGGCUAACUACGUG
RNAcentral lists this ribosomal RNA (468 nucleotides) under uncultured bacterium. RNAcentral's name for it is "partial 16S ribosomal RNA". It matches the Rfam family "Bacterial small subunit ribosomal RNA", at positions 28 to 507 of the family's 1533-position model. The record is from RNAcentral.